This 460-nucleotide ribosomal RNA is filed under the name uncultured bacterium. RNAcentral describes it as "partial 16S ribosomal RNA". It matches the Rfam family "Bacterial small subunit ribosomal RNA", at positions 338 to 795 of the family's 1533-position model. The record is from RNAcentral.
CCUACGGUUGGCUGCAGUGAGGAAUAUUGGUCAAUGGACGAGAGUCUGAACCAGCCAAGUAGCGUGAAGGAUGACUGCCCUAUGGGUUGUAAACUUCUUUUAUAUGGGAAUAAAACGUUCCACGUGUGGGAUUUUGUAUGUACCAUAUGAAUAAGGAUCGGCUAACUCCGUGCCAGCAGCCGCGGUAAUACGGAGGAUCCGAGCGUUAUCCGGAUUUAUUGGGUUUAAAGGGAGCGUAGGUGGGUUGUUAAGUCAGUUGUGAAAGUUUGCGGCUCACACGUAAAAUUGCAGUUGAAACUGGCAGUCUUGAGUACAGUAGAGGUGGGCGGAAUGCGUGGUGUAGCGGUGGAAUGCUUAGAUAUCACGAAGAACUCCGAUGGCGAAGGCAGUUCACUGGACUGCAACUGACACUGAGGCUCGAAAGUGGGGGUAUCAAACAGGAUUAGAUACCCCAGUAGUC